CAGAGGCCCUUGCCACACCCUGGGAUCAGGGUUGGACAUCGCUGUGGUCGGCAGAGCUCUAGUCAGCGGGGGCCAGGGAGUUUGGACUGAGAACCAUGCUGGAUGUCUCCUGGAUCUUCCCCUAACACCUCCCCCCAGCGCACAGCUUCUCAUGUGGAGUCCAGGCAUUGUGGAUGACUGACCUGAACCCUUCCUGGAUGACGAUCACUGCACAGUCUGCUUGUGACAUGUGAGUUCCUGGAUUUGCAUUAGAUCCCUGACUUUGAUGCCUCCAGGUGAUAUGAUCUGGAGCCCUCAGGACCAGGAAGGCAGCAGGGCUGCAUGACCGGCUGAACAGAUUGAUCGAUUCCAAAGCCAGAAGGGCCCAGAGCGAUCGUCUCGGCUCACCUCCUGCAGAACACAGGCCAUUGGACAGUUUCCCUCUCGGGCAGAUCAUUGGGAAAAACAUCCCAUCUGAAACUGACAAACGGCCAGUGAUGGAGAAUCCACCACAACCCUCGCGAACUUGAUCCAGUGGCUAUUUCCCUGCACUGUUAAAAUACUGCCCUUUAUUUCCAGUC
Long non-coding RNA from Mauremys reevesii (Reeves's turtle), 560 nucleotides. RefSeq lists it as uncharacterized. Lineage: Eukaryota; Metazoa; Chordata; Testudines; Geoemydidae. The record is from RefSeq and is a predicted model, not a curated record. The transcript has 2 exons.